Molecule: non-coding RNA, 119 nt
Organism: Triticum aestivum (bread wheat)
Lineage: Eukaryota; Viridiplantae; Streptophyta; Magnoliopsida; Poales; Poaceae
Source: Rfam
AUUAUACUCCCUCCGUCCGGAAAUACUUGUCGGAUAAAUGGAUAAAAAUGGAUGUAUCUAGAACUAAAAUACGUCUAGUUACAUCCAUUUCUCCGACAAGUAGACGGAGGGAGUAGUAA